GUCUACGGCCAUGCUACCCGGAACAAGACCGAUGUCUGAUCUCGGAAGCUCAGCAGGGUCGAGCCUAGUUAGUACUUGGAUGGGAGACCACCUAGGAAGACCAGGUGCUGUAGGCA
This 116-nucleotide ribosomal RNA is filed under the name Pteropus alecto (black flying fox). The record is from RNAcentral. Lineage: Eukaryota; Metazoa; Chordata; Mammalia; Chiroptera; Pteropodidae.